CUGAUAUUUAGAUGUACACAAAGACACAAUAACAAUUAGAAGUACACACAGACACACUAACAAUUAGAUCUACACACAGACACACUAACAAUUAGAUGAACACACGGACACACUAACAAUUAGAUCUACACACAGACACACUAACAAUUAGAUAUGUACUCAGACACGUUAACAUUUGGUUCUAAACAAAGACACACACUAACAUUUAGAUGUACACAAAGACACAUUAAUAUUUAGAUGUACACACAGACACACUAACAAUUAGAUCCACACACAGACACACUAACAAUUAGAUGUACACACAGACACACUAACAUUUGGUUCUAAACAAAGACACACACUAAUAUUUAGAUGUACACAAAGACACAUUAAUAUUUAGAUGUACACACAGACACACUAACAUUUAUAUGUACACACAGACACACUAACAAUUAGAUGUACACACAGACACACUAACAAUUAGAUGUACACACAGACACACUAACAAUUAGAUGUACACACAGACACAUCCUGAUGAUCCUCCUCACGUCUCUUCUCCUUGUCUGCAGACCAACAGGACGCCAUCAGGACGCCACGUCAUCGGGAUGCCAUCAGGACGCCAUCAGGACACCACGUCAUCGGGACACUACGUCAUCGGGACACACUAACAAUUAGAUGUACACACAGACACACUAACAAUUAGAUGUACACACAGACACACUAACAUUUGGUUCUAAACAAAGACACACACUAACAUUUAGAUGUACACAAAGACACACACUAAUAUUUAGAUGUACACACAGACACACUAACAAUUAGAUGUACACACAGACACACUAACAUUUGGUUCUAAACAAAGACACACACUAACAUUUAGAUGUACACAAAGACACACACUAAUAUUUAGAUGUACACAAAGACAUUAAUAUUUAGAUGUACACACAGACACACUAACAUUUGGUACUAAACAAAGACACACACUAAUAUUUAGAUGUACACAAAGACAUAUUAAUAUUUAGAUGUACACACAGACACACUAACAACAUUAACAUGUUAAUAACUUCUUCUUUUCUCUCUUCUCAGGAACUGCUUCAGAUGUUUUCCCAAUGAUUGUUUUAUUAUUAUUGUUAAAUAUGUUGUUUAUUAUGG
Molecule: long non-coding RNA, 1128 nt
Organism: Gasterosteus aculeatus aculeatus (three-spined stickleback)
Lineage: Eukaryota; Metazoa; Chordata; Actinopteri; Perciformes; Gasterosteidae
Source: Ensembl